UGAGGAAUAUUGGUCAAUGGACGGAAGUCUGAACCAGCCAAGUAGCGUGCAGGAUGACGGCCCUAUGGGUUGUAAACUGCUUUUGUAUGGGGAUAAAGUUAGGGACGUGUCCCUAUUUGCAGGUACCAUACGAAUAAGGACCGGCUAAUUCCGUGCCAGCAGCCGCGGUAAUACGGAAGGUCCAGGCGUUAUCCGGAUUUAUUGGGUUUAAAGGGAGCGUAGGCCGCGUUUUAAGCGUGUUGUGAAAUGUAGACGCCCAACGUCUGCAUCGCAGCGCGAACUGGGACGCUUGAGUACGCGCAACGUUGGCGGAAUUCGUCGUGUAGCGGUGAAAUGCUUAGAUAUGACGAGGAACUCCGAUUGCGAAGGCAGCUGACGGGAGCGGCACUGACGCUUAAGCUCGAAGGUGCGGGUAUCAAACAGG
This 424-nucleotide ribosomal RNA is filed under the name Verrucomicrobiota bacterium. RNAcentral describes it as "Verrucomicrobia bacterium partial 16S ribosomal RNA". It matches the Rfam family "Bacterial small subunit ribosomal RNA", at positions 355 to 776 of the family's 1533-position model. Lineage: Bacteria; Pseudomonadati; Verrucomicrobiota. The record is from RNAcentral.